CCUACGGGAGGCAGCAGUGGGGAAUAUUGCACAAUGGGGGCAACCCUGAUGCAGCGACGCCGCGUGAGUGAAGAAGUAUUUCGGUAUGUAAAGCUCUAUCAGCAGGGAAGAAAAUGACGGUACCUGAUUAAUAAGCCCCGGCUAACUACGUGCCAGCAGCCGCGGUAAUACGUAGGGGGCAAGGGUUAUCCGGAUUUACUGGGUGUAAAGGGAGCGUAGACGGUAGCAUAAGUGAGGAGUGAAAUGUCGGGGCUUAACCCCGGAACUGCUUUGGAAACUGUGCAGCUAGAGUGCAGGAGAGGUAAGUGGAAUUCGUGGUGUAGCGGUGAAAUGCGUAGAUAUUAGGAGGAACUCCAGUGGCGAAGGCAGCUUACUGGACUGUAACUGACGUUGAUGCUCGAAAGCGUGGGGAGCAAACAGGAUUAGAUACCCCUGUAGUC
RNAcentral lists this ribosomal RNA (440 nucleotides) under uncultured bacterium. Its description in RNAcentral is "partial 16S ribosomal RNA". It matches the Rfam family "Bacterial small subunit ribosomal RNA", at positions 338 to 795 of the family's 1533-position model. The record is from RNAcentral.